This 270-nucleotide unclassified non-coding RNA is filed under the name Hevea brasiliensis (rubber tree). The record is from RNAcentral. Lineage: Eukaryota; Viridiplantae; Streptophyta; Magnoliopsida; Malpighiales; Euphorbiaceae.
UUGAGGAUUUUGCCAGGACCUGCAAGCACCAAUAACAUCAUUACUAUCAAUAGCUGAACAAUAACAAUGAUGAAAUCAGUAAGAAACAUUGCCAGAAGCUACCUGGAACUAAAUACAUUUAUGACAAAUGAGUUGCAUAACCUAUAAAAUGAAAUGGACUAAAACAGUGGGAUUGGAAGAGAAUGAUCUAAGCCAUAGUUAUCAAAGCUAUACACUCAGUAAUGCAACUCAGCACAAACAGUACAGCAUUUUUAAGAUAAUAUCAUUAUG